UUUACCAUUUAAAUAAAAACAAGCAUGAUAUUGACAUCCUCAUCGUCCGAACCGUAAAGAGCUACUUACAAUAAAAAUAGGUACUGUGCAAUAACUGUGAAAGAAGAAAAAGGAUGCGUGUUUUUACCAACAAAACUAACAAAAGCAGACGUAUAUUUUGAGCAUUGACCGUGAUUUGUACAGAAAAUGACUCAAUCCCCAAGAUCUGUCCGUUUUGUAAAUUUAACCAAAGGCACAACGUCAAAGGAAUUAAUACAACAUAUAGAAGAGACCGUUAUCCUUAUAAGAGACAAGAUCGAAAAGGUUCAUAUGGGUAUGGAUUACCGUUUACAGUUAGUAUUUGCCUACGUCAUAUUUAAUAGCCAUGAGAACGCAGCACGCGUUGUGGGAUGGAUGGAUAAAACUACUUGGAAAGAUCUUUCCCUAAAUGUUGAACUCGUUGGUCCGAAUCUCAAAUACACUGAGUACCAUACUAAGGCGAUACCUCAACCUCUAAAGAAUUCUAGAAUCCAAAGACCAUUAUCGUAUCAAUUGACUUCUAGAAUCCAAAGACCAUUAUCGUAUCAAUUGACUUCUAGAAUCCAAAGACCAUUAUCGUAUUCGAUUGACCAUUGACGGUGAAAAAUAAAGUCGUAGACAUGAUUUAAUUAUGUACUUUAAAAGGGAACUACAACGUUCAAGGGGUUUUAUCGUUUCAUAUGGUCAAUGGACCUCUAAAUAUCAAAAAACCCGCAGAGUGCUACCAUUUAAGGGGCUGCGUUUUUGAGAAAGGGGUGAAUUAACCCCUAUGCACUAGGUGCAUAGGGUGAGCUCUAUGCACUUUUCGUAUAUACACAUCUACAGAAAAAUUGUUCCAAAAACUAUAUUUAAAAAAAAACGAAACACGAAAGAAAGCAAUUUUGUUUUUUGCCCCAUAACUUUUUUCCAAGGGGAUAUAUAGGAUAUAGGUAUAGGCAUUGCUGCACAGAAAAAAACUUCCAUCCUUCCUCUUUAAAAGGAGGUUUCAGAAGUCUUUAAGAUUUAUAGUUUUCGAAAUAUGAUUUUUCAAAGUUCGCCACUCACAGUAUUUUUGGGCCAUUUUCCUUAUUAUUUCGCAAACAUUGUUCUGUAACUAUUUUCUACGCAUCUUUAGGUAUAUGCAAUGGUACAUUUGAUAGGAAGCGAAGUCAAUUACCUUUAAAAUGGUCUAUUGUAUGACUAUUUUUAAGCAAGAUAUGGUUUUUCAAAGUUUUAAACUUUUAACGAUUUUUGAUGUUUUACGAUUAUUUUUUAAAUUCCUCAUUAUAACUUUUGUUCUUGUACAUUUAGGUUUAUAGGUAUGUUGCUUAAUAAAAAAGAAAGCAUAUUUUCUUUGCUCUAAAAUGGUGCACUGUAAGAAAUUCUAGGACUAUUUUUAAAGAAGAUAUCCGUAGGAUAUCCAGGGGUAUCCGUAAUUUGAGAAAAAUUUUAAAUUAUUUUUUCAAUUAGAAGAAUAUAAAUGUAUAUUAGCUUUUCUAUGCACCAGAGUGAGUUCUAUGCACUUUUCGUACAUACAGAUCUACAGAAAAAUUGUUCCAAAUUAAAUAUACAUACUAUCAAAAUAUCCUCGUUUUGAGUCAAAAAUAUUUUUUUUACAAAAAUCUAUUCAAAAGAAAGCAAAAAAAACGAAAGAAGGCAAUUUUGUUUUUUGACCCAUAACUUUACUCCACGGGGAUUUAGGUAUAGGAAUUGGUUCAUAGAAAAAUUCUUCAAUUUUUCCUCUUUAAAAUGACGUUUGGUAUAAAUCUUUAGGAUUUAUAGUUUCUGAAUUAUGAUUUUUCAAAUUUCACCACUUACAGCAUUUUUGGGAAAUAUUCCUUAUUACUUCGCAAGCAUUGUUCUGUAACUUUUUUCUACGCAGCUUUAGGUAUAUGCAACGGUACAUUUAAUAGAAAGAGAAGUCAAUUACAUUUAAAAUAGUCUAUUGUAAUUUUAAUAAGUAUGUUUUACGAUUAUUUUUUAAAUUUCUCAUUAUAACUUUUUUUCUGGUACCUUUAGUUAUAUAUACACUCACCGGCACAAAAUUCCGCCACCCAAAAUUUUUGAUUAAGUUUGACAAUUUAUAAAUACGGGGUUGAAUGGAAGCCUUGUAUUUCCUCCUAACUUUAAAAAAAGAAUGUGUGUGUACUUUGUUCGCAUGUAAGAAGUUAUACUUCUAUUAUAUGAUUUCAACGAAAUAAAUAUACUUUAAACAGUUUAUUUGUAUUUUAUUUAAAUAUUAAACUAAUGUUAAUGCUUACUACUUUCCAAAAAUAAAAAAAAGAAUAGGAAUGGUUCGUAUUUGAACCCAAGACAUCUCGAUCUGUAGCCAAAUGCUCUACCAAUAACGCCACGACCUCUCUGUUUAUAUAGUUUCUCGGAUAUAAUGACAAUUCACGGUAACAAACAGUCGAAGUGAAAUACAUAAUAAUAAAUAUAAAAAUGUUUUAACAAUACUUAUCUUACUCCCGAGGAAGACAAAUCCAAGGACACAAACAUUAUAAUAAAUAUAUUUACUAACAACACUAAUAUAUUCUUUUCACACCUUUUUUGUACUGAUAUAUACAUAACUUAAAAGAUUUAGCAACUAACGCCAUACUGUCUGUGUGCGCAUGCGCGCAGAAUAAUAAAAAUUCACUCCCAAUCGCGCCGAAAGAAGUAUAACUUCAAAAAUUCUGUGGAAAAAUUGGAGGGCUGAUUUUGUUACAUACUCCUUUUGUAUUAUCCUGGAGAUAUUCCUAAGAUUUUGCUUUUUGAUUUAUCCCAAUAUCUCUUUUCUUGUAAGAGCUGUACAAUUUUUAGUAAAUAAAAACACUGACUCAUGAACAUAAAUAUCUUAAAUAGAGGUUGGAUUGACAAUAUCAGAAUGACCCGCAUGCAGCCCAGAUCUCAAUCCAAUAGAGCAUUUACAGGAUGAAUUAAAAAUAGCUAUUCGCCGUCUCCUAGGUCUCACGAAAAUUUGGUACAGUUUUGGCCCUGGUAGAGGAAUAUCGGGCUAUUACCCAGGCAAUGAUAACACAUCUUUAUUCGAUGCCAAACAGAUUGCGAGCAGGCUUUGUUGCGAGAGGUGGACAUACCCGCCAUUGAAUUGUUUUGUUUUGUUGUUAAUUUUGUUUUGUGUUGUUAAUUUGAGUGCGUUUGAUAUUUUUAAUGAAGUAAACCUUCAAAGCAGUGUUUUUAUUGGCAGCUUUUAAAAGAAAAGAGAUAUUCGGAAUAUGUACCAAAAUCAACCCUCCAAUUUUUCCACAAAAUGUUUUAAAGUUAGGAGAAAAUACAACGCCCCCGUAUAAUGCAAUCUAAGCAAAAAUUUUUGCUACUGGAAUAUUAACAAACGACACGAAAAGAUGUACCUACAAACUGAUGCAAGAAUCUUGAAAAUCGGAGUACAAAUAAUAAAGUUAUAAAUUGUCAAACUUAAUCAAAACUUUUGGGUGGCGGAAUUUUGUGCCGGUGAGUGUAUAUUGCUCAAUAAAAAAGCUUAUUUUCUUUACUUUAAAAUGGUGUAUUAUAAAAAAUUCUAGGACUAUUUUUUAAUCAUCAGAUAUCUAAAUUUAUCAAUAGUAUACCAAGUAUGUUAAGAAAUAUGAAUUUCGUUCAGGAGUAAAGUACCUUUAUAUUUCACAAUAUUCAAAAGUGUAUCAAGAAAAGCUAAUACACAUUUACAUUCUUCUAAUUGAAAAAAUAAUUUAAAAUUUUUCUCAAAUUACUGAUGCCUCUGGAUAUCCUACGGAUAUCUUUCUUUAAAAAUAGUCCUAGAAUUUCUUACAAUGCACCAUUUUAAAGCAAAGAAAAUAAGCUUUCUUUUUUAUUAAGCAAAAUAUGUACAAGAACAAAGGGUAUAAUGAGAAAUUUAAAAAAUAAUCGUAAAACAUAUAAAAAAACAUAUCAAAGAAAAUAUACUUUCCUUUUUAUUAAGCAACAUAUAAACCUAAAUGUACAAGAACAAAAGGUAUAAUGAGAAAUUUAAAAAAUAAUCGUAAAACAUAUCAAAAGUCGUUAAAAGUUUAAAACUUUGAAAAACCAUAUCAUGCUUAAAAAUAGUCAUACAAUAAACCAUUUCAAAGGUAAUUGACUUAGCUUCCUAUCAAAUGUACCAUUGCAUAUACCUAAAGAUGCGUAGAAAAAAGUUACAGAACAAUUUUUGCGAAAUAAUAAGGAAAAUGGCCCAAAAAUACUGUGAGUGGCGAACUUUGAAAAAUCAUAUUUCGAAAACUAUAAAUCCUAAAGACUUGUAAAACAUCCUUUUAAAGAAGAAGGAUGGAAGUUUUUGAAGUUAUACUUCUUUACGAUCGAGAGUGAAAUUUUAUAAUGCCGGGCGCAUGCGCACACAGACAGUAUGUAUUUCGUUGCUAAUCUUUCAAGAUAUGUAUGUAUGUAUCAGCGCUGUCAGCGCAAAUAAGUCAUAUUAUAUCAUAUAAAAGGAUAUAUUAGUGUUCUUAGUGAAUGUAUUAUUUAUUAUAAUUUUUGUGUCUUUGGAUUUGUCUUCCUCGGGAAUAAGAUAUUUUAUAAUAAUAGUAAAUAGUAAGUAUAUUUAAAGUAUUUUUGUAUACCUCACUUGGUCUAUUAAAUUUUGUCAGUAUGUAUGAGAAAUCUUGUAACCUGUCAAAGCAAAAGGUAUAUAGCUCAGUGGUAUAGCGUGUGACCGGAGAUCAAGAGGUCCUGAGUUCAAAUCCCGGACGAUUCAUAUUCUUUUUUUUUAUAUUUUUGGUAUCGUUUUAUAAAUUUUUUUUAAAAGUGGUAGGUAAAGAAAGUUAGUUUAAUAUUUAAAUAAAAUACAAAUAACCUGUUAAGUAUAUUAAUUUCGUUGAAAUCAUAAUAAUAGAAGUAUAACUUCUUACGUGCGUACAAAGUACACACACAUUCUUUUUUUUCUGUGAAGCAAUGUCUAUACUUAUAUCCCCUUGGAAAAAAGUUAUGGGGCAAAAAACAAAAUUGCUUUCUUUCGUUUUUUUGCUGUUUUUUAAUAUAUUUUGGAACAAUUUUUCUGUACAUGUGUAUGUACGAAAAGUGCAUAAAGCUCACCCUAUGUACCUAACCUAGUGCAUAAGAGUUAAUUCACCCCUUUCUCAAAAACGCACCCCUUUAAAUGGUAGCACUCCGCGGUUUUUUCAUAUUGAGUGUUCCAUUGACCAUAUGAAAUAAUAAAACCCUUUGAACGUUGUAAUUCUUUUUAGCCCUCUUAUUAUGAACGUAAUCAAUAGCCUAAUAAGUCAACAUAAUUCAAAUGAAAUAUUUAAAAUAUUAUUAAAGGAUUUAUGUAAGUCUAUAUUUAAUAGUAUUUUGAUGUACACCUACUUUUUGAUUAAUUAGUCAUGUGCAUCUGUUGUAAAUAAAAUGAUGUUGACUUGCA
Molecule: long non-coding RNA, 5347 nt
Organism: Diabrotica virgifera virgifera (western corn rootworm)
Lineage: Eukaryota; Metazoa; Arthropoda; Insecta; Coleoptera; Chrysomelidae
Exons: 2
Source: RefSeq, a predicted model, not a curated record